AGGAGGCAUAUUAGACCCCUUCAUAGAUAUGGAUAUAUAUAUUUGAUCUCUUUUGUAUUAUCUGUGGUAGAGUCAUUGAGGUUCAUGAUCCUAUCAAUUAUUAUGAGGCCAUCACCAAUAGUGAGUCUACAUAGUGGUCUAUUAUUAUGAGUGAGGAGAUUGAGUCUCUUUACAAGAAUCAGAUAUAAAAGCUUGUGAAACCACCACAACGUCAG
RNAcentral lists this long non-coding RNA (215 nucleotides) under Elaeis guineensis (African oil palm). Its description in RNAcentral is "long non-coding RNA (EGUI_LNC040329)". The record is from RNAcentral. Lineage: Eukaryota; Viridiplantae; Streptophyta; Magnoliopsida; Arecales; Arecaceae.